UACGGGGGGAGCAAGCGUUGUUCGGAUUCAUUGGGCGUAAAGGGCGCGUAGGCGGCUUGGUAAGUCGGGGGUGAAAGUCAGCGGCUCAACCGCUGGACUGCCUUCGAGACUGCCUGGCUUGAGCAUGGUAGAGGCUGGCGGAAUUCCCGGUGUAGCGGUGGAAUGCGUAGAGAUCGGGAAGAACAUCGGUGGCGAAGGCGGCCAGCUGGGCCAUUGCUGACGCUGAGGCGCGACAGCGUGGGGAGCAAACAGG
Molecule: ribosomal RNA, 253 nt
Filed under: uncultured bacterium
Lineage: Bacteria
Description: partial 16S ribosomal RNA
Rfam family: Bacterial small subunit ribosomal RNA
Source: RNAcentral